UCCUCCCUCUGUCGGCGUGCUUAACACAUGCAAGUCGAACGGAAAGGCCCUGCUUUUGUGGGGUGCUCGAGUGGCGAACGGGUGAGUAACACGUGAGUAACCUGCCCUUGACUUUGGGAUAACUUCAGGAAACUGGGGCUAAUACCGGAUAGGAGCUCCUGCUGCAUGGUGGGGGUUGGAAAGUUUCGGCGGUUGGGGAUGGACUCGCGGCUUAUCAGCUUGUUGGUGGGGUAGUGGCUUACCAAGGCUUUGACGGGUAGCCGGCCUGAGAGGGUGACCGGCCACAUUGGGACUGAGAUACGGCCCAGACUCCUACGGGAGGCAGCAGUGGGGAAUAUGGCACAAUGGGCGGAAGCCUGAUGCAGCAACGCCGCGUGCGGGAUGACGGCCUUCGGGUUGUAAACCGCUUUCGCCUGUGACGAAGCGUGAGGGACGGUAAUGGGUAAAGAAGCACCGGCUAACUAGGU
RNAcentral lists this ribosomal RNA (467 nucleotides) under uncultured bacterium. RNAcentral's name for it is "partial 16S ribosomal RNA". It matches the Rfam family "Bacterial small subunit ribosomal RNA", at positions 36 to 506 of the family's 1533-position model. The record is from RNAcentral.